Long non-coding RNA from Numida meleagris (helmeted guineafowl), 2616 nucleotides. RefSeq lists it as uncharacterized. The transcript has 4 exons. NCBI's taxonomy places the organism in Eukaryota, Metazoa, Chordata, Aves, Galliformes, Numididae. The record is from RefSeq and is a predicted model, not a curated record.
CACCUCCUGAUUUACAGCAUUUUCCUUUGCCUUUACUCUGUACUCUAUACUCCGUUGGUAUUUCUUACAAGGCAGGUAUUGUCAAAUCUCUUUCUUCAAACAUAUAAUAACCACCUUUUGUAUCGAACAGGCGGAUAAAUUACUCAGCUUAUAUGACAGAACAGAAAAUAAAGAGCUGAGUAUCUGGCAGAGAUGCCAAAGAGUGAUGUUAUUAUAACCUUCCUGUGAAAGAUUUGCCAACAGCAAGUUACGCAUUGGUGAGGCAACCGAUGACAAUAUUUGCAGGAGAAGGCUUUAUUACACCAAAUAUUAAAAACCAUCAUUGCAUGUUGUACUUACAGCCCAAUCUCACCUCUCUUAUCAGGAUGUUCAAUAGCCUCCGUUGCACAUAACAGAUGGGAUUUGGAGCUUAAAUAGUCCACGGGGGUGGAAAGACAUCAAAUCACAGGGUUUUGCUUGUCAGUGCUACAGCCUUCUUGUUUAGACCUUCGUGGGAAUUUUCCUAGGUUGCUUUCUUUGUUGUUUUUCAAGUGGAAAAUAUUGUUUCUGCCAAACUGAAAAUUUUCUGUUUUUCAGUUUUCCUGUAAGCCGACGACGCCGGGAUCAGAGUGGUUUCAAGGCAGAAUGAUCCAAAGGAAACCAAAUCACAGCGCUUGGUGCUGACCAAUUUAAAACAUCUGCCCAUCUUUGCUGGUGCUGCCAUCAGACGUACGGGCUUUACAUCCAGCUGCUUUGCCCCUAGAGUUUCUGCAGCUUCCCAAACCACUUGCAGUCACCUUCUGGCUGGAGCAGCGCAGCCCAUGCCUGCAGCCAGGAAACAGAGCCCUUCCACAGCAUCACCUGCAUCACGCGGUAGUAAUGAGCAACAUCAUCAUUAGCGCCUUCUGCUUAAUUUGCUGGCAGUUGGCAGCAAGCAGCUGACCUUGGGUGGAUGGAGGCUUAGGGUCAGCCCGGCUGGAGCGGAGAGAAGAGGAGCUGGAAGCUGGCGGUGGGUGCUUAGUGGCGAUGUGCAGCGGGUGCAGUGCUCCAUCUCCCGGCAGCCGCUCCGAUGUGCAAGGGAAGAGCUCCAGCUGUGGUUCGUCCUGGUGAGAUGCUGCGUGGCAGCGUUUCCUCCGAUGUAAAAUAAUCGCCGAGUGCCACCACAUCCAGCAGACUCUGAGAACAGCGGGUCAGGUGCAGCCGAAAUCUCUGCGCUGAGCUCUCUCUGACCAAGGCACAGAUGCUGCACGCGGGAUUUGGCUGCUCUGUAUCAUUGCCCCACGGUACAGCCUUCCAUCCCUUCCUGUUUGCUUAUUGUUUUCACAUACUUAUCAAUACUUUUCUGCCUGUUCUAGGGAGAAUGAAAGUGUGCAGGCUCGUUCUUUGUUUCAGAGAAACUUUCUGCUAAAAAUCAACAGGCGCAUGGGAACAGGGUGAGAGGGAAAUCAGUGUGCAUCUGUUCUCAGACAGAUUUUCAGACAUUACCAUUUUCCUGUCCACCUGCUGCCGUUCAGCGUGGGAGCACGAAACUGGCGGCUGUACUCGGGCAGCCAGCACAUAGCCAAGCACAAUCUCUGCUGCCCUCGCACGGCACAACCAGGGAAGGAAACUGGCCUGCUUGCGUUACUCCAUCUGAAUGUCAUCAUGGGAUAUGGGCCACGUUCACAUAUAGGUCACAUAUGCAAGAGCAGAUUUGAGGAGAUAAGCUGCUAACCCAGCCUAUCUCUGAGAGAAAGUCAAGCUUGCAGAUUGGAGCAGCCGAGCUAAUAGCUGAGCUGAUCUUUAAUCCAUCUUUGCUGUAAACUAUCUUGAAAGAUCAGCAAGCACUACACAGCCUGCGUGCAUGAGUUAAAUGAGAAACGCAGGCCAAAUCACUGAGCAACCAAGGAAGGCAAGAUGUUGAAGCUCAAAGAGCACUAUAUUGGCAUGUCCGUAUAAACUGCAAGGCAGAAGGAAGGCAGCCCUCGCUUCUUGGUGCCAGAUUAAAGAUACGAAAUGUUUUACGUCAAGCUCAGCUGCUGGCAUUGGCAGAGCCCACGAAACUCUCAGCAUUUGUCAAAAAAUAACAGCCAUAACAAAAUCUGUUCUCCUGGAGGAGGAGAGAGCGUCAUAAAAGGUGGAAUCAGAGCACAAAGAGGAAGAAACCUCCAUUUGACACUGCCUAGCUAAUCUCAGCAGUACAUCGCUCAUUACUCUGCGCUGGAUUAAAGGUGAGCUCUGUAGUGCUGCCUUUGAGACUCAGCGGGGCAGCUCUCCUUCACAGCAAUGGGGUCAAAUAAUUCCUGGUGUGUGGCAGGAAGGCUCUGGAGUGAAGAUUGUCGGGUUCAAAUUACCCAGCAGAGCCCUCUGUGUUCUAGCUUUUGUGUUCCCUCCUGUAAAAUAAAGUAUUCUAUAGUUUAGCUCCCAAAUAAAAGGACUGUCUUAGUGAUAAAGGAAAUGUAAAAUACAUUUUAUUCCAGAUUUGUGUCCCGUUACAUGAGCAACAUGUUAGAAAUGUUAGAAUUUUUUCCUGGAAGAAGGCCGGUUUUCCAUGUUUUUCUCUCUGUUGGAAAAGUUCAAUUACAAUGUUUGCUCUUAAAAGAGUUUACACAACAUAUACAUUUAGAUUAUUUGGUCAAAUGUUGCUGAUUGAGAAGG